GAUGAAGAACGCAGUGAAAUGCGAUAAGUAAUGUGAAUUGCAGAAUUCAGUGAAUCAUCGAAUAUUUGAACGCACAUUGCGCCCCUUGGUAUUCCGAGGGGCAUGCCUGUUCGAGCGUCAUUAUAACCCCUCAAGCUCAGCUUGGUGUUGGGGCCUGCUGCACUGGCAGCCCUUAAAAUCAGUGGCGGCGCCAUCUGGCUCUAAGCGUAGUAAUUCUUCUCGCUAUGGAGUCCUGGUGGAUGCUUGCCAUCAACCCCCAAUUUUUCUAUGGUUGACCUCGGAUCAGGUAGGGAUACCCGCUGAACUUAAGCAUAUCAAUAAGCGGAGGA
RNAcentral lists this unclassified non-coding RNA (329 nucleotides) under soil metagenome. Its description in RNAcentral is "partial contains 5.8S ribosomal RNA, internal transcribed spacer 2, and large subunit ribosomal RNA". The stretch from base 1 to 120 matches the Rfam family "5.8S ribosomal RNA", at positions 35 to 154 of the family's 154-position model. The record is from RNAcentral.